AUUUGUUUGCAUGAAGAUUUUUUAGUUCUUGCCAAACGUCUUAUUCCUUGGCAAACAUCAAACCACUUUUGUUUCUUUUUAUAGAAAUAGGUACAUAUUUAAAGGUUGUUCUUGGAUAUACCCACUUGAUUUUUUUUAACUUAAUUGCUUUUCAAUCUAUUUACCUUUCUUCCUAGGGUGAAACUGUAGCUAUCCACCCUCUUCUCCUGUUUUCAGGUGAGAAGUCUGAAUUGUGGGUAUUGUAGUUUUUUUGCCUAUUAGGGUUUCUGGUUGGGCAACCUUGGAGCCACACUGGGAGGACUUCUAAUCCCAGGUGGCUCGGUACGCAGCAGUUCAGUCGCAGCCCACAGAGCAAGGCACGUUUGAAGAGAGUCCUUGGUUUUGGUAGAGUGACUUCCAUUCAAUAAAAUAAUGUUCCUGAACUGAAGAAACUGGAGUUCAUUUCCACAACUGCUAAAGUUCAAGUUUCUCAGGAUGUCUGAUAAAGCCAUUCAGGACCAGUUCCUGCUGGCAUCUAACUUGCAAGAAGAGUAUGACAAAAAAGAAGUCAAAAGUGAAGGAGGUGUGGUUAACACACGAAGGAGACCAAGAAGUAAAGUUUACCAUGACUGGAAGUUUGAACUAGAAGGAGGAAAAAUGUUAACCAGUGAAAGAGGACGUCUUUGGUCGGGAGGAAUUUCACAAAGUAGGUCUGAAGGAAAUUUGCUUGACACGGAAGCCCAAAAAUCCUCAAAAACUUGCAAUCUUACAGAUGCUUUCGUACUUCAUGGCAAUGAUGCUUCCAAAGCUAUGAAUCCAUUCUGGAAUGAACUAUCUGCUUCUAACCCAUUUUUGGAUGACAUAACUCAGCUAAGAAAUAACGGGAAGAGAGAGAAUAUUUCCAUCUUGAAGGAAGAUCCUUUUCUUUUUUUUAGAGAAAUAGAAAAUGGAAAUUCUUUUGAUUCCUCUGGUGAUGAAAUUGAUGUGCAUCAAUUGCUUAGGCAGUCUUCCUCAAGGAAAUCUGGAAGAUCUAAAAGUGUUUCAGAACUUUUGGACAUUUUAGAUGACACAGCAUAUACUCAUCAGAAUAUACAGAACUCUGACCAGAUCCUAGAACAAGACUUAGAAUGGCUUCAAAAUGAUCGGGAGGCUUAUAAAAUGGCUUGGUUAAGUCAACGCCAGCUGGCCCGUUCCUGCCUGGAUUUGAGUACAAUUAAUCAGAGUCCCGGGUGGGCUCAAACACAAGUUGCAGAGACCAUGAUAGUUUGUAAAUUAAACCAUCAAGGAGGGUCAGUACAAUUACCUGAAUCAGAUAUCACUGUUCAUGUGCCCCAAGGCCAUGUAGCUGUGGGAGAAUUCCAAGAGGUAUCUUUAAGGGCUUUUAUUGAUCCUCCACAAAUGCUUAACCAUGAUCUUUCAUGCACUGUAAGCCCACUGUUGGAAAUCAUGUUAGGCAACCUUAACACAAUGGAAGCUAUUCUACUGGAGAUGAAAAUAGGGGCUGAAGUGAGAAAGGAUCCUUUCAGCCAAGUCAUGACAGAAAUAGUGUGUUUACAGAGCCGGGGUAAAGAAGGCCCUUUCAAAGUGUUAAACAACUGCUACAUUUAUAAAGACGCCAUCCAAGUCAAACUAGUAGACUUGAGUCAGGUGAUGUAUCUAGUGAUUGCUGCACAAGCUAAAGCUACUGAGUCACCAGAUGCCACCAUUUGGGAUUAUAUCCACAAAACCACCUCAAUUGGAAUUUAUGGGCCCAAAUAUAUCCAUCCCAGUUUCACUGCUAUUUUCACAGUUUGUGGACACAGUUAUAUGCCAGGAAAGCUUACAAUCUGUGAUAUGAAGAAGGGUGGAAAAAACACAUCUCCAGUUGUGUUUCACCUCUGGGGGAAGCAUUCUUUUGUUCUUGACAAGCCACAAGAUUUAAGGAUUUCUGUUUUUUCACGUGAUCCUGAUUUUGAAGUAAAGGCAGAAGGAGAAAGGAAAGCAAUUAAACAAAAGCAGUUGCAAGCAGGUGAAGUAGUUCAUCAACAAUUUUUAUUUUCCUUAGUUGACUCCAGAGAAAUACACUUGUUUGUUUUCCGUGUUCAGGUGGAGCCUCCCAAUGGUAGAACAGUUACACAGUUCUUUAUCACUACACCUGAUCCAGCCCCAAACCUAAAAAGGCUCUCAAAUCUGCCAGGUGAUUUGCAGAAGGAAAAGGAAAUCAAGUCUACUCCUUUAUUACCAACAGUGCAUGUUAAAUAUCCCACAUUUCAAGACAAAAAAUUAAACUUUACCAACUAUGGGGUAAGCCUGAAGACAGUGCUAAGACAAAGCAAGAUUGACUACUUACUUGAAUAUUUCAAAGGGGACACAGUAGCUCUUCUUGGAGAGGGUAAGAUAAAAGCCAUUGGGCAGUCCAAAGUGAAAGAAUGGUAUGUGGGAAUCCUGAGAGGUAAGAUUGGACUUAUACAUUGCAAAAAUGUCAAGGUGAUUGCAAAGGAAAAAGUAAUGUCUAUGCCAGAUAGUGUCUUCACAACCCGGAAUCUCAUUGAGCAAAUUGCCCUGCCCUUUAAAAAACUGACUUACAUGUAUUCAGUUGUAUUGACCAUGGUGUCAGAAAAAGUUUAUGACUGGAAAGUUUUAGCUGGUGCCCUGGGCUACUCACAUCUGGCACUGGAAGAUUUUGAUGGAAUACAAGCAGACACAGAAUCAGAAAAAGUUUCUUAUGUUGUGAAGAAGUUAAAGGAAGAUUGCCAUGCAGAUAGAAAUACCAGGAAGUUUCUUUAUGACCUUAUUGUGGCUCUCCUGAAGAUGGAUUGCCAAGGCUUAGUAGCACAUCUCAUCCAAGAGGCUGCUAUUCUGACUUCAGCUGUUAAGCUUGGAAAAGGCUGGAGGGAGCUAGCUGAAAAGUUAGCGCAACUCACAAAGCAACAAAUGGAGGCAUAUGAAAUUCCUCACCGAGGAAAAGCUGGAGAUGUUGCAGUUGGGAGUAUUUCUUUUGGAAAAAAAAUACACAUAUACUUUACAGAGAUGUUUAACUAUGCCAAGGUUUUCCUGUGAAGCCAAGAUCUUUGUCUCUCCUCAUUUUUGACUGGCAGCUGUAGUGUUCAGAGCACUUCAUUUAAGUCUAGAUUAAAAGUGGGAAAGUAGGUAUUCCUCAAACAGCUGAUUUUAUUUUAUUUUAUAAGUGAAUGAAAAUACUAUAUGGAAAUCUUCAUACUUGUUUAGUGUCUUUCCUCUGUAUCCUUACUUUCUGUAUUUAAGUCAUCUGUAUAUUUAACACAUUUUCUGGGACUACCACUUCUCAGCAUUGGAACAUCAAGAACUACAAAAAACAUGAACAGAAUGAAAAGUAUAACGUUUUCUCUCUAAAGCCAAAUUUUGUUUGGCAUGGGAAUUGGGAUAAACUGUUAAUAUCUGAAUUGUUAUAUUUUAAAGUUUAUGAUUAGAUGAUGAAAUAAGUAAAAAUAACUAAUAAUGAGAAUACUAGUUGUUGCAAUUUGUUGCAUGUUUACUGCAUGUCAGCUAAUCAUUAUGAACAUUUUCUUUACAAUAUCUCAUUUAUUUCAACAAACUUUGUGAGGCAGCAAUUAUAACUAUCUGCUUUUUACAGAUAUGCAAACUGAGAGUGAAUGCAUUUGUGUAAUUUACCCAGAAUUACAUGGUUAUUAAGUGACAGAACUGGGAUUCAAAUCCAGGUUUGUUUCACACACAGUCCUAUCCACUGCACUUUACGGAUGAGAAGUCUUUUCAGAAUUAACUAAAUAAAAAAUGGUCAAAGUGGGCAGGAGCUGUCAGAGGACACAUCCACGUCCUGAAGGAUGGGUAGCAUUUGAAUAAUUGGAGAGGACUAGAAGGAGAGUUCAGUGCUUCUGGAUAGCAAUGACUUCUAGAGACCACUGAGGAGAAUAUGUGGGCUGGAGAGGAGAGUUCGUCUUAGUAGUUAUUGGGAGAUAUGGUCAGAUAUAUAUAUUUGGGAGUUGACAGAAGAGAGUCUUGAAUGCCUGCCAGAGCACAUAGGUUAAGAUUCCUGGUCUGGAUUCCUGUUCCUGCUCCACCAUCUCUUAGCCCUAAAACCUUCAGUAAGUUUUCUAAGAAUCACUUUUUUUGUUUUUUGUUUUUUUUUGUAAAAUGAGGUGAAUAAUAUUAUCUUACUCAUUGGAUGUUUGGAGGAUUAAAUGAGAUAAUAUAUGUGAAAUAUGUGGGGCAAUGCUUUGCAUAUUUUAAUAGCUAAAUACAUAUUAUCUAUUAUUUUGACUAAGAGGAAGAGGUGAAUUUGACAACUGUGUGACAGUGAUUAAUUUUGGAAAAGGGAAUAAAGUACAGGAAUUUUUGAGUACUAUGGCUGAGAGUGACUAUAGAAAGACUAUAGGUAAAGGAAAAGUCAGCAAAGAUUUCAAGGCUUCUCUUCUGAGAAACUGGCAGAAUGGUAAUGCAUGGAAAAAAAUAAGAAAGAAAUCUUGGCUGAUCAGCUCUUUCUAACUCGUUUAACAACAUUAAUUUUCCUUGGAAAUAUCUCUUGCAAAAGGUAAAAGGAAUGUUCUUUAACUCUUAUGGUUUUCUGGCUCACACAGAUCUCCUGGAUUCCUGUUACAGGGAUGUGGCAUUGUCCAGUUCUGUGUCGGGGCCUGGCUCAGUUCUAGUCUUGGUACUUAAAUAUAUGGUUUGUUGUUCUUUUAUAGUAAGAAAUAUAUUUGGAAUUUCUUAACAAAGGGAAAAGUAUUAAAUAGAAAUUCAUCUACCAGUGGUAAAGUGUAUAAAAUAAUUUCUCAAAUCAUCAUUGUUUGUACUAGAGAUUUGGCACAGUGACAUAAUAUUUAGAUUAUCAUAGUCUACUUUGUACAAUGCUAUUAUGCUUGUUGCUACAUUGUUUAAUUCCAAAAAAAUACUCCAUUUUUUGAAAUGACGGAAUAAAGAAAAAAGACAUCCCACUGAAAUGCUGGGGUAACACCUUGUAUUCCUAUGAUCUUUGGUUUAAUUCUACAGUCUAUGUCUCAUUACCACACUGAAAAUCAAAUAGAAAUAAUAAUUAUAUAAGGUUAAAUAUUAUAAAGAUAUUUUAAAAUGCAUUUAGAGACUCUAAUAUUUGAUUUAGAUUUUCUUUAUCAAGGUUUGUUAUUAGGGAGCGUAAACAACAACGAAUUUCAGAAAACCAAAGUCUAGCUAAUUAUAAGACUUAAAUCAGCAUUUAUUAAAACUUUUUAAUAUUGAAAUAAAUUCGUGGCAAUACUUUAAUGAAAUGGCCCUGGAUUUAUAGCUAGGUGACCUGGAUUCUUUUCCUAACUAGGAAUUGGUGAGAACUGCUUGCCAGCAGGUUUUCCUAAGAUGUUGGACUGUUUUGAGCAGAGGCACCAGCAAGGAAUGGGUCCUCUUCCUCUGGCUCGUGAUUAACCCCUGAAGUUCCAAGUGUUAUUCCUAGAACAAAAAGAGCUGGCUAUCCCCAAAGAGGCUUUUUCAAAAGAUCUUAGGUCAAAUUUUAACCAAGUACCAUCUCCUUUCUGAGGAAAUAGGGGCCUCCUGACAUGAUAGCCUCCCUUCUUUUCUGCAGGUAACGGCAACAUUAUCUUCAACAGUGUUUAGGUACUUACCAAUUACAGGUGACAGACGGCCCACCUGGGUAUUGUAAGUGAUGUACUGAAGAUAGAAUACAUGUAAUAAUCAUAAGGCAAAUUUGCCUUAAUACUUCUUCAGCUAAUUGUACUUAAAAUGAAACAUUUCUCCUAUAGUUUUAUGAGGAAAGUAGGUGGAUUAUUAAUCCUUUAAUGUGGCAAAAUGUAAUUAUCCAAAGGUAGUUAAAACUAAUUGCAUUCUUUAUGCUAUUCAUAUUUUAUGAGCUAAAAAAAGAUAUAGAAUGCUAUGCUCAAAUUUGAAUUGCUUUUAUUCAUUUUGCAUUUCAUUAUCUAGUGCAUUAUCUAAUGAGUCUCAUUGGCUUCUGGGAAUAAGCACUGUAAAUUUGGAAAACUUUAUUUUUUUUUAUUCUCUAUUCUUGUUUUGUUUCUUUUGGCAUCCCACUUAUUACUUUUUCAUCUCUCCUUUACCUUUUUUUUUUGGUCCUCUAAUACCUGGAAGAUAAACCAAAGACAUAGUCCUUCCUCACAAAUGCUGACACUUUGGAAACUGCUCAAGUUUGAUAGAUUAAAUGCCUACUGAUGCUGCCGCCCUUUAUAUAAAGAGAUCAAAGCACAUAGAUGAGAAAUGAACAACUCACUGCGUUUAUCAGCCUCAUGCUUCCUAUUCAAAGAUGAACCCAUAACACCAUGAAGUUAACCUUAAAAACAUCUAAGAGUAGAGGGAUGAUGUGGAAACCUGCCUAUGAUUUUCUCUAUACUUGGGGUGCUCACUACGGAAACAGCUAC
RNA transcript from Diceros bicornis minor, 6314 nucleotides. It is a transcript of the gene named MET transcriptional regulator MACC1, with no coding region annotated. Lineage: Eukaryota; Metazoa; Chordata; Mammalia; Perissodactyla; Rhinocerotidae. The transcript has 9 exons. The record is from RefSeq and is a predicted model, not a curated record.